GACGUAGGGUGCGAGCGUUGUCCGGAUUUAUUGGGCGUAAAGAGCUCGUAGGCGGUCUGUCGCGUCUGCUGUGAAAACUCAGGGCUUAACCCUGAGCUUGCAGUGGGUACGGGCAGACUAGAGUGCGGUAGGGGAGACUGGAAUUCCUGGUGUAGCGGUGAAAUGCGCAGAUAUCAGGAGGAACACCGGUGGCGAAGGCGGGUCUCUGGGCCGUAACUGACGCUGAGGAGCGAAAGCAUGGGGAGCGAACAGG
RNAcentral lists this ribosomal RNA (253 nucleotides) under uncultured bacterium. RNAcentral's name for it is "partial 16S ribosomal RNA". It matches the Rfam family "Bacterial small subunit ribosomal RNA", at positions 524 to 776 of the family's 1533-position model. The record is from RNAcentral.